UCUAAUAAUGGGUAUUUUGUGCCCAUUUACAUAUUCCGUUCAUUUACUCUUUAAUGGGUGAAAAAUUUCUUGACAACAAUCGGUCAGACAAUUUUAAAUACUUCAAAGUGUUUUCGCAUAAUAACUAAAUAAGUUUGCAGAAAUGCGGGAAGGUUCAAGGAUGCUUUGGAUGCCGAGUACAUCACUUAUGAAUUGCAAGAAUCUCCAGCCCCAUUUCCCAGGUCCGAAAACAAAUCCAAUCCCUGAUGGAUGAUUCUUCUGCAUCGGAACAAUAUAUUUUAUAAUGUAAUAAAUAAAUUGUUUUCUAUUGAUCAGA
Aedes aegypti (yellow fever mosquito) is the source of this 316-nucleotide long non-coding RNA. RefSeq lists it as uncharacterized. The record is from RefSeq and is a predicted model, not a curated record. NCBI's taxonomy places the organism in Eukaryota, Metazoa, Arthropoda, Insecta, Diptera, Culicidae. The transcript has 2 exons.